This is a long non-coding RNA of Dermacentor andersoni, 701 nucleotides long. RefSeq lists it as uncharacterized. The record is from RefSeq and is a predicted model, not a curated record. Lineage: Eukaryota; Metazoa; Arthropoda; Arachnida; Ixodida; Ixodidae.
UCUGUGUAAGCUUCGCUACCAAGUAUACUUAACUUGCCGAAUGCGUCGUGCGCUGCCCUUGACGGGUAGCACACAUAUGAAUGCGCUACUCACUCUUCCUUUUCAUUAGCGGUCGAAGAAGGAACCACGGUUCACUUGUUUUCAGUGAACAGCUACAACGAACUUGCGGAAGCUGCACAGGAACAGAUGACGCGUCUUUGAAUAUGAACGAAAACGCGAGGCAGACGAGGAGAAGGAGAAGACAAGAUGGCAUGAGUGAUGGAUACAAUAUAUUAGAGAGGUGCUCAAUGCAUGAUCUCCCAGCACUGCUAACAGCAAGCUGGAGAGAGUGACCACGCACGCUCAUGCGCUGGGAAGACUGGGCACCCCUGACGAGGUGGCCCGAUGCAUCGCUUUUCUGGCCUCGGACGACGCCUCGUUUGUGACGGGAGCCACUUUGCCCGUGGACGGGGGCGUCCACAUCACGUCGGCCCUUUCGCCGAGCGUUCCUUUGGAGCUGACCGCGCACAUGCAGAAACACGCCUGAGCACAAGUCGCCUGAGCACAAACGCGGGUCGUAUCUGACGGUAGGACGGCGAAAUAACCAGAGAUACAAUUAAAAGAAAAACGACACAAGAUUGAGCGGGUGCAGGUAUUUUUCAUGGUGAUGUAUAUUUUGGAGUAAAAAGCCGAGCGAAAGAGCUACUAGGCUUCCACGUGCA